RNAcentral lists this long non-coding RNA (576 nucleotides) under Brassica napus (rape). Its description in RNAcentral is "long non-coding RNA (BNAP_LNC000167)". The record is from RNAcentral. Lineage: Eukaryota; Viridiplantae; Streptophyta; Magnoliopsida; Brassicales; Brassicaceae.
GGCGGCCCCGGACGCUGCGGAGCAAACCCUCCAGGAGGAGGCUGCAUUCCAGGGCGAGGCGGUCCCUGCAUCCCAUGAGGUGGUGGAGGCCCCCUCAUCAUCCCACCAGGCGGAGGCCCCAUCGGUCUCUGCCCAUACGGAGGCGGAGGAGGACCACCAGGCGGUCCUCCCAUCCCAUGAGGCGGCGGUCCAGCAAACUGCGGCCUCAUACCGUAACUCGGCGGAGGACCUUGCGGAACGCCUCUCCCCAUCGGAGGAGGACCACCACCAAAAGCCGGAGGCGGCGGGAGCAUCUGCCCAGGAGGCCGCAUCACAGGAGGACGAGAGAUCUGAGGCUGCAUCAUCCCCGGAGACGGCCCACCAACUCCACGAACAGGCCCAGCAAGCCCAGGCUGAGCUUGAACAAGCGGCCCAGUAGGCACUCCACGUCCAGCAGCACGGCCCAUCCCAGGCCCAGCAAGAGCCACUGCAGAGCCAGCCUUGGCACGUGACUCUUCAGGAGGAGGCGGUCCUUCCACCGUCAUGGAGAUAACCUCUUCGCCUCUGAGAAGAACCAACCCUAGCGUACGCCGAUCU